CCUACGGGAGGCAGCAGUGGGGAAUUUUGCGCAAUGACCGUAAGGUUGACGCAGCAACGCCGCGUGUAUGAUGAAGGCUUUCGGGUCGUAAAGUACUUUCAGCAGGGAAGAAUGGUAAGGGGAGUAACUGCCCUUUAAUUGACGGUACCUGCAGAAGCAGCCCCGGCUAACUCCGUGCCAGCAGCCGCGGUAAUA
RNAcentral lists this ribosomal RNA (195 nucleotides) under uncultured bacterium. RNAcentral describes it as "partial 16S ribosomal RNA". It matches the Rfam family "Bacterial small subunit ribosomal RNA", at positions 338 to 525 of the family's 1533-position model. The record is from RNAcentral.